Molecule: transfer RNA, 59 nt
Filed under: Tupaia belangeri chinensis (Chinese tree shrew)
Lineage: Eukaryota; Metazoa; Chordata; Mammalia; Scandentia; Tupaiidae
Description: Tupaia chinensis (Chinese tree shrew) tRNA
Rfam family: tRNA
About the family: Transfer RNA (tRNA) molecules are approximately 80 nucleotides in length. Their secondary structure includes four short double-helical elements and three loops (D, anti-codon, and T loops). Further hydrogen bonds mediate the characteristic L-shaped molecular structure. tRNAs have two regions of fundamental functional importance: the anti-codon, which is responsible for specific mRNA codon recognition, and the 3' end, to which the tRNAs corresponding amino acid is attached (by aminoacyl-tRNA synthetases). tRNAs cope with the degeneracy of the genetic code in two manners: having more than one tRNA (with a specific anti-codon) for a particular amino acid; and 'wobble' base-pairing, i.e. permitting non-standard base-pairing at the 3rd anti-codon position.
Source: Rfam by way of RNAcentral
UGGUGCGAUUGGUUAGCACGGCUGGUUGUUAGCCAGAAGGCUGGUGGUUCAACUCCACC